This 65-nucleotide transfer RNA is filed under the name Paraleptophlebia submarginata. Its description in RNAcentral is "tRNA-Met". The record is from RNAcentral. Lineage: Eukaryota; Metazoa; Arthropoda; Insecta; Ephemeroptera; Leptophlebiidae.
AGAUGGGUAAGCUAAAUUAAGCUAUCAGGUUCAUACCCUGCCUAUGGACAGGAGUCCCCCCUCUA